CAUGUGUCAACAGGAGCCGAACAGAUCAGAGGAUUUUGUGAACAAAUUAUGCGAUAAAAAGCUGAGGCAGAGGGCGACAGAAGACAGAGGAGCUGAAGCUGUGAAAGGAAAGUAAAAGUCAACCAAAGCAUUUUUUUUUUCCUCAGAGAAAUAGUUGGGCAUCUCAGUGAAUAGACUUUCAUGUUUGGAGUGGGAUGAUUUUGAUGCCACAGCCAACGAGCUGGGGGGGACAACAGGUAGCCUGGAUUCAUUCAGUGGCAUCAUAAUCAGCCAGCCAGAACCUCUGAAACUCACUAAUUAACAUGUUCUUUUUCUUUUUCUAAUCCAUGCAAAAUCAGACAAUAACAACAAACUGUCAGUUUAUGUGCCAGUGCCAGGCUAUUUUCUUGGCUGUGACCAGUGGCCAGGCAACCAUCGGAGACUCCAGCAAGCUACUUGGUAGCCAAGAAUCGUCCCACUGUUACCAACCUUUGUCCCCUUGUUUGCGUCAUGAAGCAGACGUCAAUGAUGAAAUGUAAAAUACAGAAUUCAUUAAGUGAACAACUGAGCAAAUAAGAUUCAAGGGGCAAUGUGGUCAUGGGGGGACUGGAGCUGAUCCCAGCUGACAUUGGACUAGCGGUCGGCAGUUCAUCACCGGGCUGACAUAAAGGGACAAACAACCAGUCACACACACAUUUACACCUACGGACAAUUUAGAGUGACCGAUUAACCUUACUUCGAUGUUUUUGGACUGCAGGAGGAAGCCGGAGUACUCGGACGAGCAGGCGCGGGGGAGAUCAUGCAAGCCUCUGCUCAGAUGGGCCCUGCCCAAGCCGAACCCACAACCUCUACGCCGUGACGCUAACCACUGCUCCGCCAAAACUGGUCACAUGGUUAACAUUAUACCUAGAUACCAGCAUGUCGGCAUCAUCACUGUGUGCAUGUUAGCAGAAUUAGACUCUUUAUUUAUGCACUAACUGGAGAAUUAACCUAAUGCACAUGUCCGGAUCAAAGCCAACACCUUGGUCAGGGGCUCCGACUAUGUGAGCAUCGAGAGUACAUGCAAACCGCACAGAAAGGCCUGACCCCCACAGGAUUUGAGCCCAGAGGCUUCUUGCUGUGAGGUAACAAUGCGCCACCAUGCUCAACAUACCACUCUUACAGCCCUAGAGUGGAUAAAGUGGCUCACUCCGAGUCUUGUUUGGACCCCCAACUGGUCAGUGCCAGUCCAUCUGACCUUGCAUAUCCAGCAGCUGUUAUGUGAACUGGGUUCAGGAAACCAUGUGCCUGCUCAAAAGGGUGAUAGAUUUGUGCUCUUUUUGGCAACGCUAAGGUUUAUAAAAGGGGAUUUGGAUGCAAUCCCUGUUGUUGAAAUUGACUGACAGAUUAAUCUAGCACCAGAAGGUACAUAAUUGCAACUUCUCUUAAUUUUUUAUAGCAGCAACUUACCCCAAACUCCCUCAAGUCAAACGUUUGUUGGCAAUUUGAAUUUCUUAGCUUUGAUAAAGAACACCGUGUGUAAAAAAAAAUAAUA
This is a long non-coding RNA of Acanthopagrus latus (yellowfin seabream), 1513 nucleotides long. RefSeq lists it as uncharacterized. The transcript has 3 exons. The record is from RefSeq and is a predicted model, not a curated record. NCBI's taxonomy places the organism in Eukaryota, Metazoa, Chordata, Actinopteri, Spariformes, Sparidae.